AGUGGCGAACGGGUGAGUAACACGUGACCAACCUGCCUCUUACAUUGGGACAACCAAAAGAAAUUCUGGCUAAUACCAAAUACUCCGCACAUAUCACAUGAUGUAUGCGGGAAAGCUUUUGCGGUAAGAGAUGGGGUCGCGGCCCAUUAGGUAGACGGCGGGGUAGAAGCCCACCGUGCCGAUGAUGGGUAGCCGGGUUGAGAGACCGACCGGCCACAUUGGGACUGAGAUACGGCCCAGACUCCUACGGGAGGCAGCAGGU
This 262-nucleotide ribosomal RNA is filed under the name uncultured Cryptobacterium sp. Its description in RNAcentral is "partial 16S ribosomal RNA". It matches the Rfam family "Bacterial small subunit ribosomal RNA", at positions 94 to 354 of the family's 1533-position model. Lineage: Bacteria; Bacillati; Actinomycetota; Coriobacteriia; Eggerthellales; Eggerthellaceae. The record is from RNAcentral.